CCCAAUUACUUGCUUCCUUAAGGCUGCUACAUUUUUUCCUUCUUCAAAAUAAUCUAGAAAAAUACCUAGUCUUCCCUCUUUCCUAUGCAUUUAUCGAUGUGGCAUAACAAGACACCACAGCCUCCCCCAAACCCAGUGGAAUGUUGUGGAGAAGGCAGAGAAGCACUCAGAUUGGUAAUUAGAGGAUGCAACAUCUUGUGAGGUUUAGGAUUAAAAUCCCAGCCAAGAAGUGCCUGGAAAAAAACGGAUGAUUACUCAGUCCCCUUGCGGGUCACCAUGCCUGGCUCCUCUCCGUGGGGAAGCAGUUGUAACUUGUUCAACUCAAGGGCAGCCUCGUAUUCUCCCAGGCUCUCUGGGCCAAGAAGUGGGUUCUGGGAGGGCCCAAAUGGGCAUAUGUUUGUCCUUCAAUUCCGAUCAUAAUCUAUAGUCAUUACUUUAAUAGCACUUUAUAGCUGUAGGGAGAUUUAUGGCAGGUUUUAUGAGCUAAUUCUCAUCCACAAUCUCAGGUGAGGCCCUGUCACCCAUCCACCCCUUUGUGCAGCCCGGGACACUGAGGCCCAGUGGGAGGGGGUGCAGUUUAGCUCACCCCGCUCAGUUAGGGGAGGCUGGGGUUCCAGCACUUCAUAGAUACCUUUGUUCCUUGGCAGCAUUGCCAAAUGGUCUCAUAGCUAGAGGCUUCAUGCCUUUUUUAGCGCUUCACCAUGGCAUGGAAUUACAUGUAGUCCAGUUCAUGCCUCUCACAGCCCAGGGAAAGAGAGAAUGAACAAAGAGGAAGUAUGGGGUCAGAGUUAGUUGAGGCCCAAAUUCAUUGCCAUCCAGGCCCAGUCACUGUGGCUGGACGACAGUGGCAGUCUGCAGGGUCAUCAGCUGGCUGGAGGACUCCUCGGGCAGUGUCUGCACAGAACAUCGGCCCUCAGCAUUGCCAAAUGGGCAUAUUUCAUUCCAGGACUUACGGUGGGGGGUGGGGGAGUUGUCCCUGCCUCUGGGAGGGCAGGAAACAGGCAGGCGACAGGACUGCUCUUUCACUUUGGCUCAGCUAUGAGCGAAACAGUUGUGCCCAGAAGCCAGGAGUACUUUAGAGUUUUAGCUGCUCAUUCUGAGAACCCACCUGCCCCCAGUAACAAGAGCACUUUUUCUUUGCCUGAUGAGAAUUGAUGGGUAUGCACGGUUGUCCAUUUUUUUCCCCCAAAAUAUAGAUGUUACUAUUUCACUCUUCCUUAAGAUACUUCAGUACCUGCUCAUCUCCCAUGGCGCCCAGGGUGAGCACAGAAGUGGGGUCAUGUGAAUGCAAUGAGGAUCUUGCUUCCGGGCUUCUCACUUAUCAGCCCUGGUGGUCUUUGGCAACGCUCAAGUUUAUGGGUCUGCAACAUGCCCAAAUGUGUGAGGUGGAAGAAGACAUAACAGAGGUACAAUGGCUCCUGGCUCUCAAAGGAGUUACAGACUAGCUGGAAGCACAGCUGGCCAACAAGCAACAACAGUGCAGAAGGAUGAAUGCUCAAGAGCUGGUGGGGUAGAGGAGCUUGGGAUGCCUGGUUUGGGGAGACGAAGGUCUCUGCUUUUGUGGACUUCCCCUCCCUGCUCCCCUGCCAUUGCCAGACCAUAUGGAAAAGCAGUAAAACAUGGAGGUGAAGAGGAUGA
This is a long non-coding RNA of Neofelis nebulosa (Clouded leopard), 1638 nucleotides long. RefSeq lists it as uncharacterized. NCBI's taxonomy places the organism in Eukaryota, Metazoa, Chordata, Mammalia, Carnivora, Felidae. The record is from RefSeq and is a predicted model, not a curated record. The transcript is spliced from 2 exons.